UGUCCAGGGAUGGGAAACGAACCCACAGUGUUCCGCUUACCGGGCAGAUGCCAUGUCCACUAGGCUUGCCAUCCCUGGAC
This is a non-coding RNA of Cordylochernes scorpioides, 80 nucleotides long. The record is from the annotation of a GenBank genome assembly. Lineage: Eukaryota; Metazoa; Arthropoda; Arachnida; Pseudoscorpiones; Chernetidae.